ACUGCUCAGUAACACGUGGACAACCUGCCCUUAGGACGGGGAUAAACCCGGGAAACUGGGUAUAAUACCCGAUAGGUCUCGAUUGCUGGAAUGCAUCGAGAUUUAAAGCUCCGGCGCCUAAGGAUGGGUCUGCGGCCUAUCAGGUAGUAGUGGGUGUAGCGUACCUACUAGCCUACGACGGGUACGGGUUGUGAGAGCAAGAGCCCGGAGAUGGAUUCUGAGACACGAAUCCAGGCCCUACGGGGUGCAGCAGGCGCGAAAACUUUACAAUGCUGGCAACAGCGAUAAGGGAACCUCGAGUGCCAGGUUACAAAUCUGGCUGUCGAGAUGCCUAAAAAGCAUUUCAUAGCAAGGGCCGGGCAAGACCGGUGCCAGCCGCCGCGGUAACACCGGCGGCUCGAGUGGUAACCGUUAUUAUUGGGUCUAAAGGGUCUGUAGCCGGCCGGAUAAGUCUCUUGAGAAAUCUGGCAGCUUAACUGUCAGGCUUUCAGGAGAUACUGUCUGGCUCGAGGCCGGGAGAGGUGAGAGGUACUUCAGGGGUAGUGGUGAAAUCUUGUAAUCCUUGAAGGACCACCAGUGGCGAAGGCGUCUCACCAGAACGGACCUGACGGCAAGGGACGAAAGCUAGGGGCACGAACCGGAUUAGAUACCCGGGUAGUCCUAGCCGUAAACGAUACUCGCUAGGUGUCGGCCACGGUGCGACCGUUGUCGGUGCCGUAGGGAAGCCGUGAAGCGAGCCACCUGGGAAGUACGGCCGCAAGGCUGAAACUUAAAGGAAUUGGCGGGGGAGCAC
RNAcentral lists this ribosomal RNA (793 nucleotides) under uncultured Methanotrichaceae archaeon. Its description in RNAcentral is "bacterial SSU rRNA". It matches the Rfam family "Archaeal small subunit ribosomal RNA", at positions 85 to 879 of the family's 1478-position model. Lineage: Archaea; Methanobacteriati; Methanobacteriota; Methanomicrobia; Methanotrichales; Methanotrichaceae. The record is from RNAcentral.